RNAcentral lists this ribosomal RNA (507 nucleotides) under uncultured bacterium. RNAcentral describes it as "partial 16S ribosomal RNA". It matches the Rfam family "Bacterial small subunit ribosomal RNA", at positions 29 to 507 of the family's 1533-position model. The record is from RNAcentral.
ACGAACGCUGGCGGCGUGCCUAAUACAUGCCAGUCGAACGCUUCUUUCCUCCCGAGUGCUUGCACUCAAUUGGAAAGAGGAGUGGCGGACGGGUGAGUAACACGUGGGUAACCUACCCAUCAGAGGGGGAUAACACUUGGAAACAGGUGCUAAUACCGCAUAACAGUUUAUGCCGCAUGGCAUAAGAGUGAAAGGCGCUUUCGGGUGUCGCUGAUGGAUGGACCCGCGGUGCAUUAGCUAGUUGGUGAGGUAACGGCUCACCAAGGCCACGAUGCAUAGCCGACCUGAGAGGGUGAUCGGCCACACUGGGACUGAGACACGGCCCAGACUCCUACGGGAGGCAGCAGUAGGGAAUCUUCGGCAAUGGACGAAAGUCUGACCGAGCAACGCCGCGUGAGUGAAGAAGGUUUUCGGAUCGUAAAACUCUGUUGUUAGAGAAGAACAAGGACGUUAGUAACUGAACGUCCCCUGACGGUAUCUAACCAGAAAGACACGGCUAACUACGUG